Molecule: ribosomal RNA, 245 nt
Filed under: uncultured bacterium
Lineage: Bacteria
Description: partial small subunit ribosomal RNA
Rfam family: Bacterial small subunit ribosomal RNA
Source: RNAcentral
AGAAUCAACGCUGGCGGCGUGCCUAACACAUGCAAGUCGAACGAGAAAGUGGAGCAAUCCAUGAGUAAAGUGGCGACCGGGUGAGUAACACGUGACUAACCUACCUUCGAGUGGGGGAUAACCUCGGGAAGCCGAGGCUAGUACCGCAUAACAUCGUGAGAUCAAAGCAGUAAUGCGCUGGAAGAGGGGGUCGCGGCUGAUUAGCUAGUUGGCGGGGUAAUGGCCCACCAAGGCGAAGAUCGGUA